GCGUACCUACUAGCCUACGACGGGUACGGGUUGUGAGAGCAAGAGCCCGGAGAUGGAUUCUGAGACACGAAUCCAGGCCCUACGGGGUGCAGCAGGCGCGAAAACUUUACAAUGUUGGAAACAGCGAUAAGGGGACCUCGAGUGCCAGGUUACAAAUCUGGCUGUCGUGAUGCCUAAAAAGCAUUGCAUAGCAAGGGCCGGGCAAGACCGGUGCCAGCCGCCGCGGUAACACCGGCGGCUCGAGUGGUAACCGUUAUUAUUGGGUCUAAAGGGUCUGUAGCCGGCCGGAUAAGUCUCUUGGGAAAUCCAGCAGCUCAACUGUUGGGCUUUCAGGAGAUACUGUCUGGCUCGAGGCCGGGAGAGGUGAGAGGUACUUCAGGGGUAGGGGUGAAAUCUUGUAAUCCUUGAAGGACCACCAGUGGCGAAGGCGUCUCACCAGAACGGACCCGACGGCAAGGGACGAAAGCUAGGGGCACGAACCGGAUUAGAUACCCGGGUAGUCCUAGCCGUAAACGAUACUCGCUAGGUGUCGGCCACGGUGCGACCGUUGUCGGUGCCGUAGGGAAGCCGUGAAGCGAGCCACCUGGGAAGUACGGCCGCAAGGCUGAAACUUAAAGGAAUUGGCGGAGGAGCACCACAACGGGUGGAG
Molecule: ribosomal RNA, 649 nt
Filed under: uncultured archaeon
Lineage: Archaea
Description: bacterial SSU rRNA
Rfam family: Archaeal small subunit ribosomal RNA
Source: RNAcentral